Molecule: long non-coding RNA, 417 nt
Organism: Mustela erminea (ermine)
Lineage: Eukaryota; Metazoa; Chordata; Mammalia; Carnivora; Mustelidae
Exons: 4
Source: RefSeq, a predicted model, not a curated record
GUAGAGGCUAAAAGAAGCCAUAAUACCUGGCUUGCUAAAAAUGUUAACAUGGGGCUUGGGGUCCGACGCGAAGGAAGGAAGAUUUCAGAAAGGACCGAUGAAAUCCGGUGCAAAGAAGAGCAAGAGUUUCUGUCUCUGAGACUGCCUUGCCUUCUCCAAUCUUUCACAGCGAGAAUGGCUGUGAGGUGGUAUGGGGGAAUUGAAUACUGGUCAAAGAACUUUCAGUUAUGAAACGAGUAUGUUCUGGGGAUCCUCAGUAUGGUGACUAGAGUGGUACUUCCUAUUGACUGAUCUCAAGCCAAAGUCAGAACAAAAGAAGCACUUAAUUCACUUAAUUCAGACAAUGAUGUUGGUCUAAUGGGUUAUAGACCAGAGGGAGAAGAUCAGAAAAAAGAUGUGAAGAGGUAAAUAGAGGAU